UUUAUCGGAGAGUUUGAUCCUGGCUCAGGACGAACGCUGGCGGCGUGCCUAAUACAUGCAAGUCGAGCGGACAGAUGGG
This 79-nucleotide ribosomal RNA is filed under the name Bacillus subtilis. RNAcentral's name for it is "partial 16S ribosomal RNA". It matches the Rfam family "Bacterial small subunit ribosomal RNA", at positions 1 to 78 of the family's 1533-position model. The record is from RNAcentral. RNAcentral also lists the same sequence under 2 other names. Lineage: Bacteria; Bacillati; Bacillota; Bacilli; Caryophanales; Bacillaceae.